This 330-nucleotide ribosomal RNA is filed under the name uncultured Coriobacteriales bacterium. RNAcentral's name for it is "partial 16S ribosomal RNA". The record is from RNAcentral. Lineage: Bacteria; Bacillati; Actinomycetota; Coriobacteriia; Coriobacteriales.
GGAGUCUGGACCGUGUCUCAGUUCCAAUGUGGGGGACCUUCCUCUCAGAACCCCUAGCCAUCGUCGCCUUGGUGGGCCGUUACCUCACCAACUAGCUAAUCGGACGCGAGCUCACCCCAAACCGAGUCUCCCCCUUUACCCAAGACGAUGCCAUCUCGUGGUCUUAUGCGGUAUUAGCACCUGUUUCCAAGUGUUAUCCCCCUGUCUGGGACAGAUUGCUCACGCGUUACUCACCCGUCCGCCGCUAGAACAUGAUUCUUUCUGCCGAAGCUUAUUCCCCUCAUGUCCCCGCUCGACUUGCAUGUGUUAAGCACGCCGCCAGCGUUCGUC